RNAcentral lists this ribosomal RNA (301 nucleotides) under uncultured bacterium. RNAcentral's name for it is "partial 16S ribosomal RNA". It matches the Rfam family "Bacterial small subunit ribosomal RNA", at positions 509 to 807 of the family's 1533-position model. The record is from RNAcentral.
CAGCCGCCACGGGAAUACGGAGGGGGCUAGCGUUGUUCGGAACUACUGGGCGUAAAGCGCACGUAGGCGGCUUUGUAAGUUAGAGGUGAAAGCCUGGAGCUCAACUCCAGAAUUGCCUUUAAGACUGCAGAGCUAGCAGGUGAGAGAGGUGAGUGGAAUUCCGAGUGUAGAGGUGAAAUUCGUAGAGAUGCGGAGGAACACCGAUGGCGAAGGCAGCCCCCUGGGCCAAUACUGACGCUCAUGCACGAAAGCGUGGGGAGCAAACAGGAUUAGAUACCCGCGUAGUCCCUGUCUCUUAUAC